RNAcentral lists this ribosomal RNA (635 nucleotides) under uncultured Russulaceae. RNAcentral's name for it is "eukaryotic LSU rRNA". The stretch from base 267 to 420 matches the Rfam family "5.8S ribosomal RNA". Lineage: Eukaryota; Fungi; Basidiomycota; Agaricomycetes; Russulales; Russulaceae. The record is from RNAcentral.
UCUUGGUCAUUUAGAGGAAGUAAAAGUCGUAACAAGGUUUCCGUAGGUGAACCUGCGGAAGGAUCAUUAUAGUAGAAUCGAGGCACCUGGGCUGUCGCCGUCCUCAAGGACGUGCACGCUCAGAGUGCUCUCUCACAUCCAUCUCUCACCCCUUUGUGCAUCACCGCGUGGGCCCCUUCUCUUUUGGCUUGUUCCGGAGAAGGGGGGGUUCACGUUUUUAUAAGAACGACCCAUCUAUGCAUGUGUAGAACGUCUUACAUUAAUACAACUUUCAACAACGGAUCUCUUGGCUCUCGCAUCGAUGAAGAACGCAGCGAAAUGCGAUACGUAAUGUGAAUUGCAGAAUUCAGUGAAUCAUCGAAUCUUUGAACGCACCUUGCGCCCCUUGGUAUUCCGAGGGGUGCACCCGUUUGAGUGUCGUGAACACCCUCAACCUUCUCCGUUUAUUGACAGAGAAGGCUUGGACUUUGGAGGUUUUUGUUGCUGGCCUCGUUCGAAGCCAGCUCCUCCUAAAUGAAUUAGUGGGGUAUGAUGAGGUCUUUGGCGUCGUGAUGAGGGAGGAGGGGGGGCAUAACCAAACCUUUCCUGUCAUUGUCUUUAGGGGGAGGAGGCGCAGGAGAAUAACAAGAAGCGCU